UCCCUGGUGGUCCAGUGGCUAAGACUCUGCACUCCCAAUGCAGUGGACCCAGGUUCGAUCCCUGCUCACGGAA
Ovis aries (sheep) is the source of this 73-nucleotide transfer RNA. It matches the Rfam family "tRNA". From Rfam's summary of the family: Transfer RNA (tRNA) molecules are approximately 80 nucleotides in length. Their secondary structure includes four short double-helical elements and three loops (D, anti-codon, and T loops). Lineage: Eukaryota; Metazoa; Chordata; Mammalia; Artiodactyla; Bovidae. The record is from Rfam.